This 329-nucleotide long non-coding RNA is filed under the name Elaeis guineensis (African oil palm). RNAcentral's name for it is "long non-coding RNA (EGUI_LNC058194)". Lineage: Eukaryota; Viridiplantae; Streptophyta; Magnoliopsida; Arecales; Arecaceae. The record is from RNAcentral.
GGCUGCUCUUCCCUCCUUGGCGGCUUAGGCUGUGACAGGAUCCUUGGCCAAUCUUCUCUACCGUCAGGCCGACGUCGAAUGAAUCUGUCGAGCCGACCUCGUCGGAUGAGCUCCUCGAUCUCGUCUCGAAGCUGGAUGCAUUCCUCCGUGUUGUGGCUGUGGUCAUGAUGGUUGAGGCAGAACUUGUUCGGAUUGUGCUUCCCGAGGUGCGUGCGCAUCCUCUCUGGCCUAGGGAGCUGCUCUCUGACCUCCAUCAGCACCUGGGUUUUCGAUGCGUUGAGGGGGGCAUAGUUGCGAAAUCUUCCUGGGGGAGAACCCCGUCGAGCCCG